UACGUAGGGUGCGAGCGUUAAUCGGAAUUACUGGGCGUAAAGUGUGCGCAGGCGGCCAUGCAAGUCGAGUGUGAAAGCCCCGGGCUUAACUUGGGAAUUGCGCUCGAAACUACGUGGCUGGAGUGUGGCAGAGGAAGGUGGAAUUCCACGUGUAGCGGUGAAAUGCGUAGAGAUGUGGAGGAACCCCAAUGGCGAAGGCAGCCUUCUGGGCCAACACUGACGCUCAUGCACGAAAGCGUGGGGAGCAAACAGG
Molecule: ribosomal RNA, 253 nt
Filed under: uncultured bacterium
Lineage: Bacteria
Description: partial 16S ribosomal RNA
Rfam family: Bacterial small subunit ribosomal RNA
Source: RNAcentral